GGUGAACGCUAGCGGCAGGCUUAAUACAUGCAAGUCGAGGGGCAACAGGGGUAGCAAUACCUGCUGGCGACCGGCAAACGGGUGCGGAACACGUACAGAACCUUCCUUUAAGCGGGGGAUAGCCCAUAGAAAUGUGGAUUAAUACCCCAUAGUAAUGUUGAGUGGCAUCACAUGACAUUUAAAGAUUUAUCACUUAAAGAUGGCUGUGCGGCUGAUUAGGUAGUUGGNGGGGUAACGGCCCACCAAGCCAGCGAUCAGUAACUGGUGUGAGAGCACGACCAGUCACACGGGCACUGAGACACGGGCCCGACUCCUACGGGAGGCAGCAGUAAGGAAUAUUGGUCAAUGGACGCAAGUCUGAACCAGCCAUGCCGCGCGGAGGAUUAA
Molecule: ribosomal RNA, 387 nt
Filed under: uncultured bacterium
Lineage: Bacteria
Description: bacterial SSU rRNA
Rfam family: Bacterial small subunit ribosomal RNA
Source: RNAcentral